GGGGUGGGCGUGCCCAAAAUUUGGGGGGUCCCAUAGGUGGUCCCAUGGGUGAUGUCCCCAAAAUGGGGUCCCCAAAAUUGGGGUGGGGGUCCCCAAAAUUUGGGGUUACCAAAAUUUGGGUGGGGGUCCCCAAAAUGGGGUCACCAAGACGGGGAUGGUCCCCAAAUUUAGGGUGGGGGUCCCCAAAAUUUGGGUAGGGGUCCCCAAAUUUGGGGUCACCAAGGUGGAGAUGGUCCCCAAAAUUUGGGGUCACCAAAAUUAGGGUGGGGGUCCCAUGGGUGAUGUCCCCAAAAUUUGGGGUCCCCAAAAUUUGGGUGGGGGUCCCCAAAAUGGGGUCACCAAGGUGGGGACGGUCCCCAAAAUUUGGGGUCCCCAAAAAUUUGGGUGGGGGUCCCCAAAAUUUGGGGUCACCAAGGUGGGCGUGGCCAAACUGGGGGUGGAGCCUCCAACUUCGGUGGGCGUGGCCAAGUUGAGGUGGGCGUGACCAAUUCAAGUGGGCGUGGCCAACUUGUGGGCGUGGCCAAGUUGAGGUGGGCGUGGCUAGAUUGGAGGUGGGCGUGGCCUCAAAUCGGGGUGGGCGUGGCCAAGUUGGCUCCGCCCCCCCCCGCUCCGCUCACUGCCGGGGGAAACCCCCUCAUUAAUUGUUAAUUAGCCCUUAAUUAAUUAAUGGAUUAAUUAAUUGCCGCCCUCUUUCCUCUGUUUUUAAUUGGUUUUUUGGGGUUAAUUUUAUUUUUUUGGGGGGUUUAAGUUUAAUUUUUUUUUUUGUUAAAAACCUCGCGGGUUUUAUUUAUUGUUG
Non-coding RNA from Taeniopygia guttata (zebra finch), 796 nucleotides. Lineage: Eukaryota; Metazoa; Chordata; Aves; Passeriformes; Estrildidae. The record is from RefSeq and is a predicted model, not a curated record.